Molecule: ribosomal RNA, 909 nt
Filed under: uncultured archaeon
Lineage: Archaea
Description: SSU rRNA
Rfam family: Archaeal small subunit ribosomal RNA
Source: RNAcentral
UUCYGGUUGAUCCYGCCRGACUGCUAUCGGAUUGAUACUAAGCCAUGCUAGUCUUUGUAGUAAUACAAGGCAUACGGCUCAGUAACGCGUAGUCAACCUACCCUAUGGACGGGGAUAAUCUCGGGAAACUGAGCAUAAUACCCGGCAGACCACUUAUCCUGGAAUGGUUAGUGGUUAAAAUGAUUCGUCGCCAUAGGAUGGGACUGCGGCCUAUCAGCUUGUUGGUGAGGUAAUGGCCCACCAAGGCGAUUACAGGUACGGGCUCUGAGAGGAGAGGCCCGGAGAUGGGUACUGAGACAAGGACCCAGGCCCUAUGGGGCGCAGCAGGCGAGAAAACUUUGCAAUGUGCGAAAGCACGACAAGGUUAAUCCGAGUGAUUUCUGCUAAAGGAAUCUUUUGUUAGUUCUAAAAAUACUAGUGAAUAAGGGGUGGGCAAGUUCUGGUGUCAGCCGCCGCGGUAAAACCAGCACCUCAAGUGGUCAGGAGGAUUAUUGGGCCUAAAGCAUCCGUAGCCUGUUCUAUAAGUUUGCGGUUAAAUCUAUACGCUCAACGUAUAGGCUGCCGUAAAUACUGUAGAACUAGGGAGUGGGAGAGGUAGACGGUACUCGAUAGGAAGGGGUAAAAUCCUUUGAUCUAUUGAUGACCACCUGUGGCGAAGGCGGUCUACCAGAACACGUUCGACGGUGAGGGAUGAAAGCUGGGGGAGCAAACCGGAUUAGAUACCCGGGUAGUCCCAGCUGUAAACGAUGCAGACUCGAUGAUGCAAUGGCAUAGAGCUAUUGCAGUAUCGCAGGGAAGCCGUUAAGUCUGCCGCCUGGGAAGUACGUACGCAAGUAUGAAACUUAAAGGAAUUGGCGGGGGAGCACCACAAGGGGUGAAGCCUGCGGUUCAAUUGGANUCAACGCCGGY